GACGAACGCUGGCGGCGUGCUUAACACAUGCAAGUCGAACGGAAAGGCCCUGCUUUUGUGGGGUGCUCGAGUGGCGAACGGGUGAGUAACACGUGAGUAACCUGCCCUUGACUUUGGGAUAACUUCAGGACACUGGGGCUAAUACCGGAUAGGAGCUCCUGCUGCAUGGUGGGGGUUGGAAAGUUUCGGCGGUUGGGGAUGGACUCGCGGCUUAUCAGCUUGUUGGUGGGGUAGUGGCUUACCAAGGCUUUGACGGGUAGCCGGCCUGAGAGGGUGACCGGCCACAUUGGGACUGAGAUACGGCCCAGACUCCUACGGGAGGCAGCAGUGGGGAAUAUUGCACAAUGGGCGGAAGCCUGAUGCAGCAACGCCGCGUGCGGGAUGACGGCCUUCGGGUUGUAAACCGCUUUCGCCUGUGACGAAGCGUGAGUGUCGGUAAUGGGUAAAGAAGCACCGGCUAACUACGUG
This 468-nucleotide ribosomal RNA is filed under the name uncultured bacterium. RNAcentral's name for it is "partial 16S ribosomal RNA". It matches the Rfam family "Bacterial small subunit ribosomal RNA", at positions 28 to 507 of the family's 1533-position model. The record is from RNAcentral.